Molecule: ribosomal RNA, 769 nt
Filed under: uncultured Glomus
Lineage: Eukaryota; Fungi; Glomeromycota; Glomeromycetes; Glomerales; Glomeraceae
Description: SSU rRNA
Rfam family: Eukaryotic small subunit ribosomal RNA
Source: RNAcentral
UAGGAUAGAGGCCUACCAUGGUGGUAACGGGUAACGGGGUGUUAGGGCACGACACCGGAGAGGGAGCCUGAGAAACGGCUACCACAUCCAAGGAUGGCAGCAGGCGCGCAAAUUACCCAAUCCCGACACGGGGAGGUAGUGACAAUAAAUAACAAUACGGGGUUCUUUAGGAUCUCGUAAUUGGAAUGAGUACAAUUUAAAUCUCUUAACGAGGAACAAUUGGAGGGCAAGUCUGGUGCCAGCAGCCGCGGUAAUUCCAGCUCCAAUAGCGUAUAUUAAAGUUGUUGCAGUUAAAAAGCUCGUAGUUGAAUUUCGGGGUCAGUAGGUCGGUCGUGCCACUGGUAUGAACUGGUUUUACUGAUUCCUCCCUCUUGAAGAAAUGUAAUGCCAUUAAUUUGGUGUUGCAGGGAAUCAGGACUGUUACUUUGAAAAAAUUAGAGUGUUUAAAGCAGGCUUUAGCUUGAAUACAUUAGCAUGGAAUAAUGAAAUAGGACGUUUGAUCCUAUUUUGUUGGUUUCUAGGAUUGACGUAAUGAUUAAUAGGGAUAGUUGGGGGCAUUAGUAUUCAAUUGUCAGAGGUGAAAUUCUUGGAUUUAUUGAAGGCUAACUACUGCGAAAGCAUUUGCCAAGGAUGUUUUCAUUAAUCAAGAACGAAAGUUAGGGGAUCGAAGACGGUCAGAUACCGUCGUAGUCUUAACCAUAAACUAUGCCGACUAGGGAUCGGAUGAUGUUAAUUUUUUAAUGACUCAUUCGGCGCCUUACGGGAAACC